This 510-nucleotide ribosomal RNA is filed under the name uncultured bacterium. Its description in RNAcentral is "partial 16S ribosomal RNA". It matches the Rfam family "Bacterial small subunit ribosomal RNA", at positions 29 to 507 of the family's 1533-position model. The record is from RNAcentral.
AACGAACGCUGGCGGCGUGCUUAACACAUGCAAGUCGAACGAAGAGCGAUGGAAGCUUGCUUCUAUCAAUCUUAGUGGCGAACGGGUGAGUAACGCGUAAUCAACCUGCCCUUCAGAGGGGGACAACAGUUGGAAACGACUGCUAAUACCGCAUACGAUCCAAUCUCGGCAUCGAGGAUGGAUGAAAGGUGGCCUCUAUUUAUAAGCUAUCACUGAAGGAGGGGAUUGCGUCUGAUUAGCUAGUUGGAGGGGUAACGGCCCACCAAGGCGAUGAUCAGUAGCCGGUCUGAGAGGAUGAACGGCCACAUUGGGACUGAGACACGGCCCAGACUCCUACGGGAGGCAGCAGUGGGGAAUCUUCCGCAAUGGACGAAAGUCUGACGGAGCAACGCCGCGUGAGUGAUGACGGCCUUCGGGUUGUAAAGCUCUGUUAAUCGGGACGAAAGGUCCUCUUGCGAAUAGUUAGAGGAAUUGACGGUACCGGAAUAGAAAGCCACGGCUAACUACGUG